GAUGAACGCUGGCGGCGUGCUUAACACAUGCAAGUCGAACGAACAGGCCCAGCUUUUUGGGUGGUUUAGUGGGGAACGGGUGUGUGACACGCGAGUGACCUGCCCUUAUCUCUGGGAUAAGCCUGGGAGACAGGGCCUAAUACCGGACAGAUGAGCUUAUCGCCCGGUGGGUGUUGGAGAGAUUUAGCGGUUUUGGGUGGCUUCGCGGCUUAUCAGCUUUUUGGUGAGGGGUUGGUACACCAAGGCGACGACGGGUAGCCGGCCUGAGAGGGUGACCGGCCACACUGGGACUGAGACACGGCCCAGACUCCUACGGGAGGCAGCAGUGGGGAAUAUUGCACAAUGGGCGAAAGCCUGAUGCAGCGACGCCGCGUGAGGGAUGACGGCCUUCGGGUUGUAAACCUCUUUCAGUAGGGAAGAAGCGAAAGUGACGGUACCUGCAGAAGAAGCACCGGCUAACUACGUG
RNAcentral lists this ribosomal RNA (466 nucleotides) under uncultured bacterium. Its description in RNAcentral is "partial 16S ribosomal RNA". It matches the Rfam family "Bacterial small subunit ribosomal RNA", at positions 28 to 507 of the family's 1533-position model. The record is from RNAcentral.